GCAGUGUUUCGGCGCUGUCACCGGUACCGUUUUACGGUGCGGGAGGAAAGUCCGGGCAGCAUAGGGCGCUCCACUUCCGAAAAUAGAAGCUAUUGGUAACAGUAGGUUAAGGCAGAAGAAAACAACCGCCAUUCCUAUGAAUGGCAAGGGUGAGAAGGCGGUGUAAGAGACCACCAACAGAUGGGUGAUCAUCUGGUUGUGCCCGCUGGAGGCUGCAAGUUCGCGUAAACCAUCGUAUACGGGUUGCCCGCUCGUUCCGAUAAGGGCGAUGGAGGGUAGAACGCUUGAGCUGUGAGGUGACUCACAGAUUAGAUAAAUGGCAGGCACUCUGAUGCCUGAAAAGACAUCGGGGAACAGAACCCGGCUUACAGAAACACUGCUUUC
The sequence is a non-coding RNA, 384 nucleotides long. It matches the Rfam family "Bacterial RNase P class A". From Rfam's summary of the family: Ribonuclease P (RNase P) is a ubiquitous endoribonuclease, found in archaea, bacteria and eukarya as well as chloroplasts and mitochondria. Its best characterised activity is the generation of mature 5'-ends of tRNAs by cleaving the 5'-leader elements of precursor-tRNAs. The record is from Rfam.